This 949-nucleotide ribosomal RNA is filed under the name Micromonospora sp. RNAcentral describes it as "bacterial SSU rRNA". It matches the Rfam family "Bacterial small subunit ribosomal RNA", at positions 41 to 1010 of the family's 1533-position model. The record is from RNAcentral. Lineage: Bacteria; Bacillati; Actinomycetota; Actinomycetes; Micromonosporales; Micromonosporaceae.
GAUGCGCUCUACCAUGCAGUCGAGCGGAAGGCCCUUCGGGGUACUCGAGCGGCGAACGGGUGAGUAACACGUGAGCAACCUGCCCUAGGCUUUGGGAUAACCCUCGGAAACGGGGGCUAAUACCGGAUAUUACUGCUGGACGCAUGUUUGGUGGUGGAAAGUUUUUCGGCCUGGGAUGGGCUCGCGGCCUAUCAGCUUGUUGGUGGGGUGAUGGCCUACCAAGGCGACGACGGGUAGCCGGCCUGAGAGGGCGACCGGCCACACUGGGACUGAGACACGGCCCAGACUCCUACGGGAGGCAGCAGUGGGGAAUAUUGCACAAUGGGCGGAAGCCUGAUGCAGCGACGCCGCGUGAGGGAUGACGGCCUUCGGGUUGUAAACCUCUUUCAGCAGGGACGAAGCGCAAGUGACGGUACCUGCAGAAGAAGCGCCGGCCAACUACGUGCCAGCAGCCGCGGUAAGACGUAGGGCGCGAGCGUUGUCCGGAUUUAUUGGGCGUAAAGAGCUCGUAGGCGGCUUGUCGCGUCGACUGUGAAAACCCGUGGCUCAACUGCGGGCCUGCAGUCGAUACGGGCAGGCUAGAGUUCGGUAGGGGAGACUGGAAUUCCUGGUGUAGCGGUGAAAUGCGCAGAUAUCAGGAGGAACACCGGUGGCGAAGGCGGGUCUCUGGGCCGAUACUGACGCUGAGGAGCGAAAGCGUGGGGAGCGAACAGGAUUAGAUACCCUGGUAGUCCACGCUGUAAACGUUGGGCGCUAGGUGUGGGGGGCCUCUCCGGUUCUCUGUGCCGCAGCUAACGCAUUAAGCGCCCCGCCUGGGGAGUACGGCCGCAAGGCUAAACUCAAGGAAUUGACGGGGGCCCGCACAAGCGGCGGAGCAUGCGGAUUAAUUCGAUGCAACGCGAAGAACCUUACCUGGGUUUGACAUCGCCGGAAAUCCUGCAGAGAUGUG